RNAcentral lists this long non-coding RNA (253 nucleotides) under Hordeum vulgare. Its description in RNAcentral is "long non-coding RNA (HVUL_LNC002176)". Lineage: Eukaryota; Viridiplantae; Streptophyta; Magnoliopsida; Poales; Poaceae. The record is from RNAcentral.
UCUUGAGCACUAGAGCACUAUUGGAUCUGGCUGCCUAUGCCUCAAUCUCAGCUUGUGUUGUAGAUGAAGUGGGGUGACUAGGAUCCAUAACAACAACAUUAUCCUCAAACUCUGCCUGAAGUGGCAGGUGUUGUGUGUCAAGUAGAUAUUUGCUCUUCCCGACCUUGGAGUUGAUAAGCAUCUGAAUGUAUGGAGCAUAUCCACAUGACCUCUUCUGGUCAGCUGCAGUCCUCUUGAUGGUCUCCACAAUGAG